Molecule: ribosomal RNA, 253 nt
Filed under: uncultured bacterium
Lineage: Bacteria
Description: partial 16S ribosomal RNA
Rfam family: Bacterial small subunit ribosomal RNA
Source: RNAcentral
UACGAAGGGUGCAAACGUUGCUCGGAAUCAUUGGGCGUAAAGCGCACGUAGGCGGCUUCGCAAGUCGGAUGUGAAAUCCCUCGGCUCAACCGAGGACGUGCAUCCGAAACUGCGGAGCUUGAGUACUGAAGAGGAUCGCGGAAUUCCAGGUGUAGCGGUGAAAUGCGCAGAUAUCAGGAGGAACACCGGUGGCGAAGGCGGUUCUCUGGGCAUUACCUGACGCUGAGGAGCGAAAGCGUGGGGAGCAAACAGG